UACAGGAAGCAGCUUGCUGCUUCGCUGACGAGUGGCGGACGGGUGAGUAAUGUCUGGGAAACUGCCUGAUGGAGGGGGAUAACUACUGGAAACGGUAGCUAAUACCGCAUAACGUCGCAAGACCAAAGAGGGGGACCUUCGGGCCUCUUGCCAUCGGAUGUGCCCAGAUGGGAUUAGCUAGUAGGUGGGGUAACGGCUCACCUAGGCGACGAUCCCUAGCUGGUCUGAGAGGAUGACCAGCCACACUGGAACUGAGACACGGUCCAGACUCCUACGGGAGGCAGCAGUGGGGAAUAUUGCACAAUGGGCGCAAGCCUGAUGCAGCCAUGCCGCGUGUAUGAAGAAGGCCUUCGGGUUGUAAAGUACUUUCAGCGGGGAGGAAGGGAGUAAAGUUAAUACCUUUGCUCAUUGACGUUACCCGCAGAAGAAGCACCGGCUAACUCCGUGCCAGCAGCCGCGGUAAUACGGAGGGUGCAAGCGUUAAUCGGAAUUACUGGGCGUAAAGCGCACGCAGGCGGUUUGUUAAGUCAGAUGUGAAAUCCCCGGGCUCAACCUGGGAACUGCAUCUGAUACUGGCAAGCUUGAGUCUCGUAGAGGGGGGUAGAACUCCAUG
RNAcentral lists this ribosomal RNA (613 nucleotides) under Escherichia coli. Its description in RNAcentral is "bacterial SSU rRNA". It matches the Rfam family "Bacterial small subunit ribosomal RNA", at positions 70 to 673 of the family's 1533-position model. Lineage: Bacteria; Pseudomonadati; Pseudomonadota; Gammaproteobacteria; Enterobacterales; Enterobacteriaceae. The record is from RNAcentral.